This is a long non-coding RNA of Megalobrama amblycephala (Wuchang bream), 309 nucleotides long. RefSeq lists it as uncharacterized. The transcript has 2 exons. Lineage: Eukaryota; Metazoa; Chordata; Actinopteri; Cypriniformes; Xenocyprididae. The record is from RefSeq and is a predicted model, not a curated record.
GAAGAAGCAAAACAGAAGAACUGAAGCUAUCAUUACGUGUUGUAACUUCCAGCCGUGCCUUCAGGCCAUAUAUUAAGCUGGUUGUUGAGUUGUUUGUGUCUUAGCACAAUGCAUGCCAAUGAUUAAGUCACCUGGUUUUGUUUUAACACCGCUAUCAACAGCAGCGGAGGAGGGGAGGACACUAUUGGGCCAGUUUGGAAGAUAAGAUGAUGACCUCUGUCACCCUCAGACACACAGUGGGGGGACUUUAUCAAGCAACAGUUUAAUUUACACCCUUUGCUGACAAUAAAGCAAUACCAUCUGGACUCA